CUUAAAUGAGCGCCGUUGAAAUCAUGCGCUCACAAUAUGCGCGCGGGUUUGGGUCGGGUCGGACCCGGGACCCGAGACCCGAAUCCAACUUAUAUAUAUAUAAAAAAAAAACUAUCUCUCUCCCUCUUUCCCAAAAGUUCCAGCCGCCUCCCUCCAUUUUCUCCCUCUUUUCCCCAAGCUCCAGCCGCCGACGUUUCCUCCAGCUCCGAUCGCCGGUCGCCGGCGCCUGCGACUACGGUAACCUCGUAAAAGGUGGCUACGGCAAGGCCACCGCCGCCCUCAACACCGUCCUCGUCGAGGAAGUCCAGAUCUGCGUCCACAAGCUCCAGCCGCUGACGUUGAGUACCAUCUGCCGCAGUCCGGCGAACCUGAUCCCGGACGCGGCAAACCCGGUAUGGAUGAACAAAGGCGACAACGCGUGGCAGCUGACGGCGGCGACGAUGGUGGGGCUGCAGAGCAUCCCGGGGCUGGUGAUUUGAGAAACCCUUCUCACGGCCAAAUUGGCGAUAAUCCACCUGGUGCUCCUGCCGAAGAAGUCGAAGAAGGCUGGGGCCGCCGAGAGAGGUCAGAUCGAUCGCCGAGAGGUCACCUUAUUUGCACCUAAUUUUCCUUCUCUUUCUCCCCCUCUCGCCUCCAAUUUUCGCGGGAUUUCUCGCGAGUCGCAUCCAAUUUCGAAGGGUUGAGGUCGAUUAGCACGGGGUUGAGGCCUCUUGCUGCGAUCUCAAAAGCUAGGGCUUUCCCGAUGCGCCAGUGUCAAGGACGGUGUACAGCCCGUUCCCGGAGCUCUCUGCUGCCAUCCCCAGCCUAUUAGCCUGUUUCUGAUUUCGCAGAGGUGCAGGAACCUCACGAGAUUGAAGCUCCGAGAUCAUAGUUGCUGGAAAUGAAUUAUGCCGGAAAUAGGAGGAUAUUCAACAAGGAAAACAAGAGGAUUGUGUGUGCAAUUUAGUUAUUGAAUCUUGUAGUUUCAUUAUAUAAAUGAUAUAGUUUCAUUCCAAUUCUUGUAGUUUUAACUUGCAUUGUUUCAUUAUAUAAAUGAUAUAGUUUCAUUCUAAUUCUUGUAGUUUUAACUUGCAUUAAGUUUCAUUCCAAUUCUUGUAGUUUUAACGUGCAUUGUUUCAUUAUAUAAAUGAUAUAGUUUCAUUCCAA
Long non-coding RNA from Salvia miltiorrhiza (redroot sage), 1146 nucleotides. RefSeq lists it as uncharacterized. The record is from RefSeq and is a predicted model, not a curated record. Lineage: Eukaryota; Viridiplantae; Streptophyta; Magnoliopsida; Lamiales; Lamiaceae. The transcript has 2 exons.